This 497-nucleotide ribosomal RNA is filed under the name uncultured bacterium. RNAcentral describes it as "partial 16S ribosomal RNA". It matches the Rfam family "Bacterial small subunit ribosomal RNA", at positions 28 to 507 of the family's 1533-position model. The record is from RNAcentral.
GAUGAACGCUGGCGGCGUGCCUAAUACAUGCAAGUCGAGCGAACAGAUGAGGAGCUUGUUCCUCUCACGUUUGCGGCGGACGGGUGAGUCACACGUGGAUACCCUACCUAUCUUACUGGGAUAACUUCGGGACUCCGGAGCUAAUCCCGGAUAAUAUAUUUAUCCGUAUGGUUCAAUAGUGAAAGACGGUUUUGCUGUCACUUCUCGAUGGAUCCGCGCCGCAUUAGCUAGUUGGUAAGGUAACGGCUUACCAAGGCAACGAUGCGUAGCCGACCGGAGAGGGGGAUAGGCCACACUGGAGCGGAGAGACGGACCAGACUCCUAAGGGAGGCAGCAGUAGGGAAUGUGCCGCAAUGGGCGAAAGCCUGACGGAGCAACGCCGCGUGAGUGAUGAAGGUCUUGUGAUCGUAAAACUCUGUUAUUAGGGAAGAACAAAUGUGUAAGGAACUAUGCACGUCGUGACGGUACCUGAUCAGAAAGCAACGGCUAACUACGUG